RNAcentral lists this ribosomal RNA (1025 nucleotides) under uncultured bacterium. RNAcentral's name for it is "bacterial SSU rRNA". It matches the Rfam family "Bacterial small subunit ribosomal RNA", at positions 345 to 1387 of the family's 1533-position model. The record is from RNAcentral.
GAGGCAGCAGUGGGGAAUAUUGCACAAUGGGGGAAACCCUGUUGCAGGGACGGCGCGUGAGAGAAGAAGUAUUUCGGUAUUGUAAAGCUCUAUCAGCAGGGAAGAAAAUGACGGUACCUGACUAAGAAGCACCGGCUAAAUACGUGCCAGCAGCCGCGGUAAUACGUAUGGUGCAAGCGUUAUCCGGAUUUACUGGGUGUAAAGGGAGCGUAGACGGCUGCGUAAGUCUGAAGUGAAAGCCCGGGGCUCAACCCCGGGACUGCUUUGGAAACUAUGCAGCUAGAGUGUCGGAGAGGUAAGUGGAAUUCCCAGUGUAGCGGUGAAAUGCGUAGAUAUUGGGAGGAACACCAGUGGCGAAGGCGGCUUACUGGACGAUGACUGACGUUGAGGCUGGAAAGCGUGGGGAGCAAACAGGAUGAGAUACCCUGGUAGUCCACGCCGUAAACGAAAAUUAUUAGGUGUUGGGGAGCAAAGUUCUUCGGUGCCGCAGCAACGCCAAUAAGUAGUCCCCCUGGGGAGUACUUUCGCAAGAAUGAAACUCAAAGGAAUGACGGGGGACCCGCACAAGCGGUGGAGCAUGUGGUUUAAUUUGAAGCAACGCGAAGAACCUUACCUGCUCUUGACAUCCCGGUGACCGGCAUGUAAUGAUGCCUAUUCUUCGGAACACCGGCGACAGGUGGUGCAUGGUUGUCGUCAGCUCGUGUCGUGAGAUGUUGGGUUAAGUCCCGCAACGAGCGCAACCCUUAUCUUCAGUAGCCAGCAAUUCGGAUGGGCACUCUGGAGAGACUGCCAGGGAUAACCUGGAGGAAGGUGGGGAUGACGUCAAAUCAUCAUGCCCCUUAUGAGCAGGGCUACACACGUGCUACAAUGGCGUAAACAAAGGGAAGCGAGCCUGCGAGGGUAAGCAAAUCUCAAAAAUAACGUCUCAGUUCGGAUUGUAGUCUGCAACUCGACUACAUGAAGCUGGAAUCGCUAGUAAUCGCGAAUCAGCAUGUCGCGGUGAAUACGUUCCCGGGUCUUGCACA